This 842-nucleotide long non-coding RNA is filed under the name Trifolium pratense (red clover). RNAcentral's name for it is "long non-coding RNA (TPRA_LNC005070)". The record is from RNAcentral. Lineage: Eukaryota; Viridiplantae; Streptophyta; Magnoliopsida; Fabales; Fabaceae.
GACGGAUGGCGAACAAAGAAAUGAAGAAAUGCUUCGUUCAGUGAUGAAUGUUGAACGACGAUGAGUGUUGAAUGAUGAUGUUGAAGAUGAAACGCACGAACUCGACGGCGAUGGCGAAGGUUGAUAGAACACGACGGCGAUAGAUUGUGUUUCUGAAUCUGAAACACAACGAAGGUUGAAUGUUGAACGACGAUGAAGGUUGAAGGUUGAACGAACGCAACGACGAGAGAUUGUUUUGUGAAUCUGAAAGUUGCGUACGUGGAUGGGGGUGUGCGUAGCAAUGGAUGGGGUUGCGGGUAGCAAUGGAUUUGGGCUUAUGGACGGUGCAUAAGCUUGGGCUUAUGCACCUUAACCGGACCCAAACAUAUAUAAUAAAAAUCUUUUAUUAUUUUUUUUAUUUUACAAGAAAUAAUAUCUCAAAAAUAUAUAAUAAAAAUCUAACUUUAAAAUUUUAGUGUUGUGCUAUUGUGUUCUCUAAGUUUAAUUUUUUUUUUUAACAUGUAAUCAUCAUUUAUUUUUUUUACGUAAGAAACUUUUCCCUACCAUCAUUCCCUACAUAUAAUUUUUUUAUAAUAAAAAUAUCAUAACAAAAACAAGAGAUAUAAUAUAAUAAUAUAAUAUAAAUAUAACAAUGUGUGGAGGCAACCAUGGUUAAGAGAUGAGAACCAAGUUUAUGUCUCAACAGAAAUUAUUGAGGGUAUGGAGAGAUGACGGUGGCUGAGCUUAUUAAUUAAUAGUAACAACAAUACAUGGAAACGACAUGCUACAACAACUAUUCAAUUAAAGAGAUGCCAUGGAAAUUGUUAAGCUACCAUUAAAUUUCUUGGAACAAGAUGACAUAC